This 253-nucleotide ribosomal RNA is filed under the name uncultured bacterium. Its description in RNAcentral is "partial 16S ribosomal RNA". It matches the Rfam family "Bacterial small subunit ribosomal RNA", at positions 524 to 776 of the family's 1533-position model. The record is from RNAcentral.
UACGGAGGAUGCAAGCGUUAUCCGGACUUAUUGGGCGUAAAGCGUCCGCAGGUGGCUAGACAAGUCCGCUGUCAAAGACUGGAGCUCAACUCCGGGCAGGCGGUGGAAACUGUCGAGCUAGAGUACGGUAGGGGUAGAGGGAAUUCCCAGUGUAGCGGUGAAAUGCGUAGAGAUUGGGAAGAACACCAGUGGCGAAGGCGAUCUACUGGGCCGUAACUGACGCUCAGGGACGAAAGCUAGGGGAGCGAAAGGG